AGGCAUGGGGGGCAGAGAUAGCCUACAGAUCAGGUGAAGCAUGGCGGGGGGCACCUGAGAAACGGCUACCACAUCCAAGGAAGGCAGCAGGCGCGCAAAUUAACCACUCCCAACGCGGGGGAGGUAGUGACGAUAAAUAACAAUACAGAACUCUUUACAGGCCCUGUAAUUGGAAUGAGUCCACUUUAAAUCCUUUAACCUACAGAUCAGGUGAGGCAUGGUGGGGGGCAGAGAUAGCCU
This is a non-coding RNA of Pelobates cultripes (western spadefoot toad), 240 nucleotides long. The record is from the annotation of a GenBank genome assembly. Lineage: Eukaryota; Metazoa; Chordata; Amphibia; Anura; Pelobatidae.